RNAcentral lists this ribosomal RNA (291 nucleotides) under uncultured bacterium. Its description in RNAcentral is "partial 16S ribosomal RNA". It matches the Rfam family "Bacterial small subunit ribosomal RNA", at positions 505 to 796 of the family's 1533-position model. The record is from RNAcentral.
GUGCCAGCCGCCGCGGUAAUACGUAGGGGGCAAGCGUUGUCCGGAAUUAUUGGGCGUAAAGCGCGCGCAGGCGGUCUUUUAAGUUUGGUGUUUAAGCCCGGGGCUCAACCCCGGUUCGCACUGAAAACUGGGAGACUUGAGUGCAGGAGAGGAAAGCGGAAUUCCACGUGUAGCGGUGAAAUGCGUAGAGAUGUGGAGGAACACCAGUGGCGAAGGUGACUCUCUGGCCUGUAACUGACGCUGAGGCGCGAAAGCGUGGGGAGCAAACAGGAUUAGAUACCCCUGUAGUCC